This 157-nucleotide microRNA precursor is filed under the name Paramuricea clavata. The record is from RNAcentral. Lineage: Eukaryota; Metazoa; Cnidaria; Anthozoa; Malacalcyonacea; Plexauridae.
GACGUCGAUAUUCGACGUCAUAAACACGAGCAAGUUUGGUGUUUAUGACGUCGAUAUUCGACGUCAUAAACACGAGCAAGUUUGGUGUUUAUGACGUCGAUAUUCGACGUCAUAAACACGAGCAAGUUUGGUGUUUAUGACGUCGAUAUUCGACGUC